AUGGGACCCGCAGUAAAGAGCGCUGCGUAUCGCAUGAAUGCCCAGACGGGCUCAGCGUCACCGAGGGAGCUGCACAGUCCUCCCCAGCUCAGGGACUCCAUCCGCCGCCCGCAUCCCACCUGCUGCACCAGUGGACUCUGGCCCCAGAUUAUCAGGGAAAAUUUAUAGUCGUCAGGGGAAAAAUAAACGCCAUUGCAUAUGAGUUCCACCUUCAGCACGAAGAACAGAGCAUUGAACUCACCCAUGCGGAGGCUCCCCAAUGUGCACACAGAGCCCGCAGUUACAGUCCCUGAAAUCCAGGCUCACAAUCAGUAAUACCAGCUCCUGAUUUGAGGCAUCAAACUCCCACAGUGAGUUCCCCGCUUCAGGGCCGCAGGACAGCGUCUGGCUUCCUCACUUCCUGCCUAAUGGAUCUUGCUGCGCAAAUUGGACUUUUCGGGUUUUAUUACUCCCUAAGGGGAUUGCUGCUGGAUUACGCUCAUUUACUUUUUUAUUCUUUAUCUAUUAUUUACACAAGAAAAUAUUCCUGUUUUUCUUUCUGAAUAUCCUCCGUUAUUCCUGGCAUUAGCGGAAUAAUUUUUGUCAGUUUUAUAAAUUGCCUAUGACUGUACAUUUCCGAGCCAAUGUGUUGAGGAGUUCCUAUGAAUCGGCGGUAACCGAUGAUGAACAGCCCAGGCGCCCAGUGGCGGUGCAGGACGAGGCCCCUUCACCUCCGCUCUAAACCCUGGAGAAGGCGCUGGGGGUCUCGGGGAGGCAGGAGGUGGGAGUGCGCCCCGCAGCCUCCUAAGACCGCCCCCCGCCCCCCGCUGCGUCCUGCACAGGGAGCUCCAGGCUGUUGCAGGAGGAUGCGGGAGGCGGGGUUCAAGGGGCGCGCAGGAGCCCCGGAGGCGCGCGCUGCUUUGCAGCUCCUAAGGCUGUGCCGACGUAGGGGACCUCACCCGGGGCUUGGGAAGCGCACCCCUGAUUUAUAAGCAGCGCGUGCUGAGCGGUCGCGGCUCAGUCCGGUGCAGCUGAGGGACCAGGGCUCCCUGGACGGCCUCGCCCGCGCGUCCUCGGUCAUUGCGUUUGUCCGGGGAGCUUGCGCGGCGUCUCCCGGCUCCCUGGGCGGGCUCUGCGCCCCAGGCCCCGCGCUCACUCUGGCUCGGUGUCGACCCCCUCGCUGGCCCAUGCAGCCUCGUCCUGCCCCUCGCGGCUCCUCCGCCCUGGUUUCUGCGUCCUUCCCUCAUCCGCUCGCCACAACCCGGCGGAGCUGCCCAGCCCAAGGUGCAGUGUGCGCCCCUGGGACGCGCCUCUGAGAGCCACGAGGGCCCUGAAUGCACAGCGCGGGAGUUUCAGGCCCAGGAGUGACCGCCUGCACUUGCGCGCUCAUUAACUCUUCUCUGCCUGCCUGGGCCCCCGGCGUGAGUGGGAAUCACGGCCCACGGACGCCUGGGAUGACUCGGCCUUGCGCCCCGGCGUGCAGCAGGUCUCUGGGCAGGUCUCUGGGCGCAGCGAACCCUGGUCUGCCGGGAGCUCCUUCUUGACCUUCCUUCCUCCACAAGAAGGGAGCGCCUCCCGACAGGCCACAGGCUACAUCAUUUUGGAUUAUGCAAUAAAAUGCUUGGUUUGUGCGCGUACAAGGGCACCAGCUAAUGCCCCAGGGCAGGGCUUACUGUGGCCACUGCUGAACCAAAUAAAAGCCCACGUGAUGUGGAAACUGCAUGGAAUAAUACGUUGUCUGGACAGGCGUCACUUACAAAUCUCGAGACCGGGUUCUUUGUGUAAAUGGUACUUUACUUUUAAACAGUUUAGGAAAAGCCCAGUUAUCUUUCAUUCACACGCCUGUUCUCUGUCCCGGGUGGGUGCCCCUGCUGAGCGGACAGA
This 1863-nucleotide long non-coding RNA is filed under the name Homo sapiens (human). RNAcentral's name for it is "HSALNT0025756". Lineage: Eukaryota; Metazoa; Chordata; Mammalia; Primates; Hominidae. The record is from RNAcentral.